This 72-nucleotide transfer RNA is filed under the name Camelus bactrianus (Bactrian camel). It matches the Rfam family "tRNA". Rfam says of the family: Transfer RNA (tRNA) molecules are approximately 80 nucleotides in length. Their secondary structure includes four short double-helical elements and three loops (D, anti-codon, and T loops). Lineage: Eukaryota; Metazoa; Chordata; Mammalia; Artiodactyla; Camelidae. RNAcentral also lists the same sequence under 2 other names. The record is from Rfam by way of RNAcentral.
GAGGGUAUAGCUCAGUGGUAGAGCAUCUGCUUAGCAUGCACAAGGUCCUGGGUCCAAUCCCCAGUAACUCCA